RNAcentral lists this long non-coding RNA (380 nucleotides) under Mytilus galloprovincialis (Mediterranean mussel). The record is from RNAcentral. Lineage: Eukaryota; Metazoa; Mollusca; Bivalvia; Mytilida; Mytilidae.
CACGUAAAAACGACGAAUCACAGAAUUCAACUUUAUAUAUAACUAAUAUAGUACAAAGGUGUAUAUUAAAAAUUACACCACUCCAGACCCUUUUGUUUUCCACGUAAUUAAUAUUGCCAAUAAUGAAGAAGUUCCGGGUUGAGUCCGCUACCAAUACCAAUAGUAUAUUCACCUGUUACCUAUUACCUUAUCUGUACGUUCCGCAUCUGACAGGCGCACCAUCAAACAUUGUAUUCAGGAUUAAUAUGCUAUAUACAUGGGUCAUUACCACAGGGUUGACACUACUAAAUUGUCAAAUUGUUACCUAUUGUCGUAUUUUAAUCAGUUAGACUUUCUAAGAUAACAAUAUGAAUACUAAAAAUCUGGACUAAAAAUAAGGC